GCGGCGUGCCUAAUACAUGCAAGUCGAGCGAACAGAGAAGGAGCUUGCUCCUUUGACGUUAGCGGCGGACGGGUGAGUAACACGUGGGCAACCUACCCUAUAGAUUGGGA
Molecule: ribosomal RNA, 110 nt
Filed under: Lysinibacillus sp. B2A1
Lineage: Bacteria; Bacillati; Bacillota; Bacilli; Caryophanales; Bacillaceae
Source: RNAcentral